AAUAAGUAAUCCACCUGGGGAGUACGACCGCAAGGUUGAAACUCAAAGGAAUUGACGGGGGCCCGCACAAGCAGUGGAGUAUGUGGUUUAAUUCGAAGCAACGCGAAGAACCUUACCAGGUCUUGACAUCCCGUGCAUAGUCUAGAGAUAGAUGAAGUCCUUCGGGACGACGGAGACAGGUGGUGCAUGGUUGUCGUCAGCUCGUGUCGUGAGAUGUUGGGUUAAGUCCCGCAACGAGCGCAACCCUUAUCGUUAGUUACUACGCAAGAGGACUCUAGCGAGACUGCCGUUGUACAAACGUAGGAGGGAAGGGACGGGGACGGACGUACAACGUCAUCAUGGUCCCUUACGACCGACGGGCUACACACGUGCUACAAUGGUAGGUACGAGGAGGGUUGUCUAC
This 403-nucleotide ribosomal RNA is filed under the name uncultured bacterium. RNAcentral describes it as "bacterial SSU rRNA". It matches the Rfam family "Bacterial small subunit ribosomal RNA", at positions 859 to 1254 of the family's 1533-position model. The record is from RNAcentral.